AUGCGCAAUCCUACAAUAAGUGUUGGCGAGAGAUGUUAUGAAGAGGGUAUGUUUGAAGCCGCCCGGCUGCUGUUUAAUAACGUGUCUAAUUUCGCUCGUCUGGCGUCCACACUCGUUCACCUCGGCGAGUUUCAGGCGGCCGUUGACAGCGCACGAAAGGCCAGCUGCACACGCACAUGGAAAGAGGUGUGUUUUGCGUGUGUGGACGGAGAGGAGUUCAGGUUAGCGCAGAUCUCCGGCCUUCACAUCGUCACUCAUGCUGAUGAACUGGAGGAGCUCAUUAACUACUAUCAGGACCGUGGGUAUUUCGAGGAGCUGAUGGUGCUGCUGGAGGCGGCGUUGGGGCUGGAGCGCGCUCACAUGGGCAUGUUCACCGAGCUGGCCAUCCUCUACUCCAAAUACAAACCCCAGAGGAUGAGGGAACAUCUGGAGCUCUUCUGGUCUCGGGUCAACAUCCCUAAGGUGUUACGAGCGGCUGAGCAGGCCCAUCUGUGGGCGGAGCUUGUGUUCCUGUAUGAUAAAUAUGAGGAGUAUGACAACGCCAUCCUGACGAUGAUAACGCACCCCACCGACGCCUGGAGAGACGCUUCCUUCAAAGAGCUCAUCAGCAAGGUGGCAAAUGUGGAGCUGUAUUAUAAAUCCCUGCAGUUUUAUUUGGACUAUAAGCCGCUGCUGCUCAACGAUCUGCUGUCUGUUCUCGCUCCUCGACUGGAUCACAGCAGAGCCGUCAGCUACUUCAGCAGGGUGAAUCAGUUGCAUCUGGUUAAACCGUAUCUCAGAUCAGUGCAGAGCCACAAUAACAGAGACGUGAAUGACGCGCUCAACAACCUGCUGACUGAGGAAGAGGACUAUCAGGGUCUGCGUGCCUCCAUCGAUGCAUACGAUAACUUGGACUCGAUCGGUUUGGCUCAGAGGCUCGAGACACACGAGCUCAUCGAGUUCAGACGCAUCGCUGCGUAUCUCUACAAGAGCAACCAGCGCUGGGCUCAGAGCAUCCAGCUCUGCAAGAAAGACAAACUCUACAAGGAUGCGAUGCAGUUCUCCGCUGAGUCUCAGGACGGAGCUCAGGCUCAGGAUCUCCUGCGCUGGUUUGUUGAGGAGGGGAAGUGCGAGUGUUUCGCCGCGUGUCUCUUCAGCUCCUAUGAUCUUCUGGCUCCUGACCUGGUCUUAGAGCUGGCCUGGAGACACGGCCUCGUGGACUUCGCCAUGCCGUACUUCAUUCAGGUGACGAGGGAGUACCUGAGCAAGGUGCGUACGAAAGCAUCUCAAGCAUGUGCUGCUCAUCAUAAAGCGCUCAUACUCUUUAAAUGA
This 1311-nucleotide long non-coding RNA is filed under the name Sinocyclocheilus grahami. RNAcentral's name for it is "lncRNA (ENSSGRG00000050270.1)". Lineage: Eukaryota; Metazoa; Chordata; Actinopteri; Cypriniformes; Cyprinidae. The record is from RNAcentral.